UAGGGAAUCUUCGGCAAUGGGGGCAACCCUGACCGAGCAACGCCGCGUGAGUGAAGAAGGUUUUCGGAUCGUAAAGCUCUGUUGUAAGUCAAGAACGAGUGUGAGAGUGGAAAGUUCACACUGUGACGGUAGCUUACCAGAAAGGGACGGCUAACUACGUGCCAGCAGCCGCGGUAAUACGUAGGUCCCGAGCGUUGUCCGGAUUUAUUGGGCGUAAAGCGAGCGCAGGCGGUUUGAUAAGUCUGAAGUUAAAGGCUGUGGCUCAACCAUAGUUCGCUUUGGAAACUGUCAAACUUGAGUGCAGAAGGGGAGAGUGGAAUUCCAUGUGUAGCGGUGAAAUGCGUAGAUAUAUGGAGGAACACCGGUGGCGAAAGCGGCUCUCUGGUCUGUAACUGACGCUGAGGCUCGAAAGCGUGGGGAGCGAACAGGAUUAGAUACCCUGGUAGUCCACGCCGUANCGAUGAGUGCUAGGUGUUGGAUCCUUUCCGGGAUUCAGUGCCGUAGCUAACGCAUUAAGCACUCCGCCUGGGGAGUACGACCGCAAGGUUG
This 549-nucleotide ribosomal RNA is filed under the name uncultured bacterium. Its description in RNAcentral is "bacterial SSU rRNA". It matches the Rfam family "Bacterial small subunit ribosomal RNA", at positions 355 to 896 of the family's 1533-position model. The record is from RNAcentral.